GAGUAUAGUUGAUGAACAAUGUUAAUUCGUAUGAGGUGUAGAACAUCGUGAUUCCACAUCUCUAUACAUUAUGGGAUGCUCACCACAAGUCUUGUCGAUCUUUUUGAGACAUAUCCACUGAAAGCGAAUGUUCACUAAUAUAGUUAAAAGGAACCUCAUGUUUUAUUCCAUUUCUUGAUUUUAAAAUAAACCUCUUGAAAAGCUGGUUGUUCGGACCCCUGUCUCUGAUGAAACUGACAACAGAGCAAUGCAAGAGAUCGGUUUGGGAUAGCUGUCAAAAUCUUUGAUGCAAAUAUCCACAAUAUAGAAACCAAUGAGUCACCAUGAUGCCUGCUGAGCUUCUUUCUUUAAGUUAAAUUCAGAUAUGUUGCCAAAAAGCGCAGGUGCUCCAUCUAUGCAGAGUAACAAGAAUUUCUUUCCAGUUGACAUCUGGCUUGGCAUAGAUAUUUUACCAUCUGAAGAUAAUGAUGGCCUUAGUGGUUUGCAAAAGGGGCUCAUAGAAUAGGAAUUCCUUACUGAUAGCUGAUGCUUGAACAUUAGAGCUGGUUGUAUUGAAAGAACAGAAGCAGCAGCUUCACUUCGUUGUAUAUUGAAAGGAAAUUAGAGCUGCCAAUUCCUCCAUCAUUUGCUUCAAAAUAUUAAAAGAAUUAUCAGUGACUCUGAUAGAAAAAAUGUCCUGUUAUAGAGGCACCGAUUCAGAUUGCUUCCUCAUAAACCAACCUGACAUCUCCAGAACAUAGCUUCCCCACGUGCCUUCCAACGUGUAUGGGUUCUUUCUCUUAGCAAUGUGAUAAGCAAUUCUGGAUGCUCCAAGACAAGGUUUUUGGGUUGAGACCAAGUCAAGCUUUGUUACUGUUUUAGCCUUUUCAAAAUCACAAUAAAAGUUCUACAUGAUUGGUACACUUUUAGGAUGGAUAAAUAAAACAUGCUUCAACUUUCUUGGCAUUAUAUAAUUUAUUGGGAAAAAGUCCUGGCUAUGUGAGAGGCAUUGCAGCUUUUGUGUAGCAUCAAGCUUAGCAAUAAAAAUAGCAUUAAACAACAUGCAAGCUUCGUUACACUAAUUUUAUGUUUUCCAAUCAACACUGACCUAUAUAAAUAAAUACAGAUGUCCAUAAUCAUGAUGGCUGGUUCACUUUUGUUAGUUCCUAUCAAUGAAAUCUAUCCUAAACGUCAUACUAUGUGAAACUCACAAAUUUGUGUUAUCUUAUGACUUUCAAUUGUAUACUUGUUUUAAAUUAAUGAAAAUUUGAUAGUAAAAUGUGGCCUUAACAUUUAUCAUCAAGAUGGACAGAAUUAGGGAUCCCUGGGUGGCGCAGCGGUUUGGCGCCUGCCUUUGGCCCAGGGCGCGAUCCUGGAGACCCGGGAUUGAAUCCCACAUCAGGCUCCCGGUGCAUGGAGCCUGCUUCUCCCUCUGCCUGUGUCUCUGCCUCUCUCUCUCUCUCUCUCUCUGUGACUAUCAUAAAAAAAAAAAUUAAAAUAAAAAAAUAAAAAUAAAAAAAUAAAAAAAAAAGAUGGACAGAAUUAAAUCAACAAAAUAUUUUGCAACAAGUUCACAGAUGUAGGUACGUAAAUAACCCUUUUAAUUGAUUCUCAGGCCUGCCACUUAGUAUUGACAUAAACAUUGUCAAGCUGUUUAUCCUCUUUGUGUCUCAGUUUUCUAAUGUGUAGGAUGAAAAUUCUAAAACAAACCAGAUAAUUUAGUAUAUAAAUCAAUUUGCAAAAUCAAAUUUUAGCUCUGUUUCUGGGUCACAUUCUAUCUAUAUCAUAGUUUUGUACAAAUAAAAACAGAGAUUUUUAAAUGAAGUACAGUCUCUUUUUCUCCCAAAAUAUCCGUAUUUUGAUACUAGGUUAGCUAGUAUAGCAUAAAAGUACAAGAAUUUAGCUAAGGACCUGCACUUUAAUCUUACUACAAAUUAUAUAAACAUUAGUUUAGAAUAAGCUUACACUAAAAAAUACGUUGGAAAAUUUAAUAGAUAGUGAUCUCUCACUUUUUGGUAUGCUUUCCAGCUAUAUUAACAGGAAAUCGAAUCUCAAAAAAGGGAGAUGACAAUCACAUACCAUGCUAAUUUUAUCAGAUAAUAUUUCUUAGUUAUUAUCCUGGAAUAAGAUGUGAUAAAGUGUAUAAAAAUAUCCUCUGACCAAUAGUAAUAACAAAUACUGUAUACAAUGCAAAAUCAUGUCAUUGGACAAGUAAUUGGAAAAAUUGAGGAUUUUUACCAAUAUAAUCAUGAGAGCUUUCAAAUAACUGAAUAGUUUUUAUUUAGAAAAAAAAGAUUCAAAAUACUUUACAGUUCCCAAGGAAUAAAGACAGAGAAAAGUAAAAGUUACAAGAAGAUAAAUUUCCACUCAACCUAAAUAGCUAAAAUUAUCUAAAGAUGAAUUCUAUAUGCACCACUGGAGAUACUCUUCCCCACAUUUCUCCUAAACCGUGUAUUUUAUCUUUUUCAAUUAUGUAUCACAUUCUGAUUUGAUAGAUGUGUUUUAAUAAUCUCCUGCCCAUAUUAUUGCUUACAAAAAUUUUGAAGAGACAAGUUACAUCUUGCUAAAGGAUGGUCCUAAAAUUUACAUCAAUUUAUUAAUCAAUACUCUUUGGCAGUGGUUUUUCUAUCACUUACAAAUUCAAACAACUAACCUAUCACUGCACAC
This 2646-nucleotide long non-coding RNA is filed under the name Canis lupus familiaris (dog). RNAcentral's name for it is "lncRNA (ENSCAFG00000051297.1)". Lineage: Eukaryota; Metazoa; Chordata; Mammalia; Carnivora; Canidae. The record is from RNAcentral.